UACGUAGGGUGCAAGCGUUGUCCGGAAUUAUUGGGCGUAAAGAGCUCGUAGGCGGUGUGUCGCGUCGGCCGUGAAAACCUGCAGCUUAACUGUGGGCUUGCGGUCGAUACGGGCAUCACUGGAGUUCGGCAGGGGAGACUGGAAUUCCUGGUGUAGCGGUGAAAUGCGCAGAUAUCAGGAGGAACACCGGUGGCGAAGGCGGGUCUCUGGGCCGAUACUGACGCUGAGGAGCGAAAGCGUGGGGAGAGAACAGG
RNAcentral lists this ribosomal RNA (254 nucleotides) under uncultured bacterium. Its description in RNAcentral is "partial 16S ribosomal RNA". It matches the Rfam family "Bacterial small subunit ribosomal RNA", at positions 524 to 776 of the family's 1533-position model. The record is from RNAcentral.